AGGUCCAGCAGGGGAUCGAACCCAGGAUCUUUGGUUUACAAACCCAACGCCUUACCCCUUGUCCACUGAACC
This 72-nucleotide transfer RNA is filed under the name Cordylochernes scorpioides. Its description in RNAcentral is "tRNA-Thr". Lineage: Eukaryota; Metazoa; Arthropoda; Arachnida; Pseudoscorpiones; Chernetidae. The record is from RNAcentral.